UUAGCCCCUCGAGGUAAGCUAAAUAAUAAUAUGCUUGUGUUACGAGUGGGCUCACCACAAUAGUCGAGCGGCGCCGGCGGGGUUCGAACCCGCGUUCCUCGGAUUUCGAGACGGCCAGUCCUUUAUAUUUUUAUUUUAGACAACAUUAUAAUAUGUAACGUAACGUAUAUAAUAUAUAACGUAACAUUUGCAUAAUAACUAUACAUGUAUGAUAUUAUAAAAUAUUCCUAAGUAAUUACUGACUAAUGCUAAAUUAUAGUAAAGAAAAAUAUUAACAUUAAUUUUAACUUUUAGCCCAUUGUUACGUCCGUGACGACUACAAUUUUACCACCUGAAGACAUUGCUAUGGAGAUAGAAAUAGAAAACACAAUGCCCGAUGCUGCAUCCAUGACAGAUGACGUGUCAGUUUUACCACCUGAAGUUGCUAUGGAAAUAGAAAUAGAAAAAAACAUGACUCCAAAGAUAACUCCUCGUAAGAAAAAAAUAAUUAAGAAAUUGGAAAAAACAACAGCUGUUGGAGAAAAAAGAAAGAAGAAAUUAGCAGCUUUGCGAUCCAAAACCUGGCGUUUGCAGAAGAAAACGGCUGAAAUGUGUACAGUCAUACAGGAAUUAAAAACGCGUUCAUUGAUUAAUCAAGAGAGUGCAGAUUUAUUGUCUUCAAUAGAUGUUGUAAAUAGAGAUUUCUUGAAAAAGUUCUUAUGUAAAGAUAGUACUGCCAGAAAGUAUACUCCAGAGCUGCGGAAAUUCGCUUUAACUCUCCAUUAUAUAAGUCCAAAAGCUUACAAUUUUGUUCGGAAACAGUUCAACACCUGUUUGCCCCAUACGCGUACAUUGUCGCGAUGGUACCAGUGCGUUGAUGGGGAUCCUGGUUUUUCAUCUGAGUCUAUUAAAGCGGUAAAAAUAUUACAUGAAAUAAAUAAAAAUAAAAACCCGUUACAUAAAACUUUAUGUGCCUUAAGCUUUGAUGAGAUGGCAAUUAGGAAAGGGGUUAAUUUUGAUGGAAAUAACUGCAUAGGUUUUGUAAAUUUCGGGAAUGGAGUUGUAAGCGAUAAUGACCAGCUAGCCAAAGAUGCACUAGUUUUCAUGCUUACAUGCAUGAACGGAUCAUGGAAGAUACCAUUAGGAUAUUUUUUGAUAAACGGUAUAAGUGCUGAACAGAAAGCAGGUUUAAUAAAAGUUUGCAUUGAGACAUUAAGUCAAGACUGUGGGGUUGAUAUACUCUCAGUAACUUUUGAUGGUUGCGCCGCAAAUUUGUCGAUGGCAAAAAUUUUAGGGUGCAAAUUAGACAGCACCGACUUAAUUGACCCUACUUUUACUGUGGGCAACCAUAAAAUCGUAAUAUUCCCAGAUCCCUCGCACAUGCUCAAGUUAGUGAGAAAUACGCUAGGUGAAAAGGGGCCAAUCAUUGAUCCGCACGGCCGUGUUAUAUCCUGGGAGUAUGUAAGAUCACUUGUAGAACUUCAGGACAACGAAGGAUUACACUUGGGUAACAAAUUAAAUAAAUCUCAUAUCAAUUUCGUUAAACAAGUAAUGAAGGUGAAGCUGGCAGCUCAAGUCAUGAGUGAAUCCGUCGCAAAUGCGAUUGAGUUUUGCGAUACAGAGUUGAAUAUCACCACUUUUAAGAAUUCUGCAGGGACUGUUGAGUUUAUUCGAAAAAUGAAUAAUUUAUUUGAUGUGUUGAAUUCUAGAAAUCUUAAAGCAUAUACUUACAAAAAACCAUUAUCUCAGAAAAGUUUUCCCGA
Molecule: long non-coding RNA, 1742 nt
Organism: Ostrinia nubilalis (European corn borer)
Lineage: Eukaryota; Metazoa; Arthropoda; Insecta; Lepidoptera; Crambidae
Exons: 3
Source: RefSeq, a predicted model, not a curated record